Molecule: non-coding RNA, 705 nt
Organism: Phoenix dactylifera (date palm)
Lineage: Eukaryota; Viridiplantae; Streptophyta; Magnoliopsida; Arecales; Arecaceae
Source: RefSeq, a predicted model, not a curated record
UUUUUCUUUCUUUUUCUUCUCCUCCUCUUCUCUUCUCCCGAUUUCUCCUUCCCCCUUUCUUCCCAUUUCUUCUCCCGUGGAGGGAGGAGGGCGAGCUCGGGAGGCUUGGGAGGAACGGCCUGCGGCCGAUGGCGCCCGGCAGCCGGCCUGCGGCGCCCACGGCCACACCCGCGGCCGUGCCCGUGGUCGCGCUCGGGGGUGCAUCGGCGGCCUGCGGCCGCGUCUGCAUCCUGCUGCCGGCGACCCGCGUCCCAUGGCCGACGACCCGCGGCCCACGGCCGAGGCCGGCGCCCGCGGUUGCGGAUCAACCACCGAAGAACGUCCGCCUCCUACUCCGGCAACGCGGCCCUUUACUCCGGCGGCGUGGGUCUAACACCGGGUCCUGCCAAUCGGAGAGGAUUGUGAGAGAGGGAGACAAACAGUGGAGGAGGAGGAUGAACGGGUGGUGAAAUGGUAGCCGAUCGGGGCUUCUUGUAGCCUCGAUCACUGGGAAGGCGGACGGUUGUAACCGCCCACCAUCAGGCGUUACGAACGCCUGCACGAUGGUGUAAUUGCCCUCCCCCCUCCGUUUCUCUUGGAAGUGGGGCGGUUAUCACAAAAAAUAGCUUUGGAGUGGGUUGAUCCGAAAAUUCUGAAUAUUUCAAAAAUCAUCAUAUUAGGUGGACCAUGAAAUUUUAAAAAGAGACCAAGUUCUCUCCCCUUCUU